This 253-nucleotide ribosomal RNA is filed under the name uncultured bacterium. RNAcentral's name for it is "partial 16S ribosomal RNA". It matches the Rfam family "Bacterial small subunit ribosomal RNA", at positions 524 to 776 of the family's 1533-position model. The record is from RNAcentral.
UACGUAGGGGGCUAGCGUUGUCCGGAUUUAUUGGGCGUAAAGAGCGUGUAGGCGGCCAUGUAGGUCCGGUGUGAAAACUCGAGGCUUAACCUCGAGAUGUCAUCGGAAACCAUUUGGCUAGAGUCCGGAAGAGGAGAGUGGAAUUCCUGGUGUAGCGGUGAAAUGCGCAGAUACCAGGAAGAACACCAAUGGCGAAAGCAGCUCUCUGGGACGGUACUGACGCUGAGACGCGAAAGCGUGGGGAGCGAACAGG